This 165-nucleotide ribosomal RNA is filed under the name uncultured bacterium. RNAcentral's name for it is "partial 16S rRNA". It matches the Rfam family "Bacterial small subunit ribosomal RNA", at positions 355 to 511 of the family's 1533-position model. The record is from RNAcentral.
UAGGGAAUCUUCCACAAUGGGCGCAAGCCUGAUGGAGCAACGCCGCGUGAGUGAAGAAGGGUUUCGGCUCGUAAAGCUCUGUUGUUAAAGAAGAACGUGUGUGAGAGUGGAAAGUUCACACAGUGACGGUAACUUACCAGAAAGGGACGGCUAACUACGUGCCAG